Molecule: ribosomal RNA, 492 nt
Filed under: uncultured bacterium
Lineage: Bacteria
Description: partial 16S ribosomal RNA
Rfam family: Bacterial small subunit ribosomal RNA
Source: RNAcentral
AGUGAACGCUGGCGGUAGGCCUAACACAUGCAAGUCGAACGGCAGCACAGUAAGAGCUUGCUCUUACGGGUGGCGAGUGGCGGACGGGUGAGGAAUACAUCGGAAUCUACUUUUUCGUGGGGGAUAACGUAGGGAAACUUACGCUAAUACCGCAUACGACCUACGGGUGAAAGCAGGGGAUCUUCGGACCUUGCGCGAUUGAACGAGCCGAUGUCGGACUAGCUAGUUGGCGGGGUAAAGGCCCACCAAGGCGACGAUCCGUAGCUGGUCUGAGAGGAUGAUCAGCCACACUGGAGCUGAGACACGGUCCAGACUCCUACGGGAGGCAGCAGUGGGGAAUAUUGGACAAUGGGCGCAAGCCUGAUCCAGCCAUACCGCGUGGGUGAAGAAGGCCUUCGGGUUGUAAAGCCCUUUUGUUGGGAAAGAAAAGCAGCAGGUUAAUACCCCGCUGUUCUGACGGUACCCAAAGAAUAAGCACCGGCUAACUUCGUG